RNAcentral lists this unclassified non-coding RNA (346 nucleotides) under soil metagenome. RNAcentral's name for it is "partial contains 5.8S ribosomal RNA, internal transcribed spacer 2, and large subunit ribosomal RNA". The stretch from base 1 to 121 matches the Rfam family "5.8S ribosomal RNA", at positions 35 to 154 of the family's 154-position model. The record is from RNAcentral.
GAUGAAGAACGUAGCGAACGUGCGAAACGUAAUGUGAAUUGCAGAAUUCAGUGAAUCAUCGAGUCUUUGAACGCACAUUGCGCCCCCUGGUAUUCCGGGGGGCAUGCCUGUCCGAGCGUCAUUGCUGCCCUCAAGCACGGCUUGUGUGUUGGGCCUCCGUCCUCCUCCCGGGGGACGGGCCCGAAAGGCAGCGGCGGCACCGCGUCCGGUCCUCGAGCGUAUGGGGCUUCGUCACCCGCUCUUGUAGGCCCGGCCGGCGCUUGCCGACACAUCAAUCUUUUUUCCAGGUUGACCUCGGAUCAGGUAGGGAUACCCGCUGAACUUAAGCAUAUCAAUAAGCGGAGGA